UCGGAUUCUUCUGGCUUUCGCGCCUCGCCCCUCGCUCCGCUUCUCCGCAACCAUGUCUGACAAGCCCGAUACGGCUGAGAUCGAGAAAUUCGAUAAGUCGAAAUUGAAGAAGACAGAAACGCAAGAGAAAAAUCCACUGCCUUCCAAAGAAACGAUUGAACAGGAGAAGCAAGCAGGCGAGUCGGCUGCAACCUUCCUGAAGAUAAUUGCCUCAGAAAAGUUCUGGUAA
Molecule: RNA transcript, 229 nt
Organism: Propithecus coquereli (Coquerel's sifaka)
Lineage: Eukaryota; Metazoa; Chordata; Mammalia; Primates; Indriidae
Gene name: thymosin beta-4 pseudogene
Exons: 2
Source: RefSeq, a predicted model, not a curated record